Long non-coding RNA from Mustela erminea (ermine), 634 nucleotides. RefSeq lists it as uncharacterized. The record is from RefSeq and is a predicted model, not a curated record. Lineage: Eukaryota; Metazoa; Chordata; Mammalia; Carnivora; Mustelidae. The transcript is spliced from 3 exons.
UUCCUGCUGCGCUCCCCCGCCGCUCUUCCAGAGAUGGAAGGAGGAGUCUCCCCGGAUCUGCCUCUUGCGGGUUUCCUGCUGAAUAGUAGUGGCCCGACUGUGCCUCAGGUCACAGUUUAUGACAACCCCGAGCUGAGAGCCCCCUCCUCAGCUCUGUCUCAGCCCCCGGCUGCCCCGCUCCGCUACCCGGGGGCUCUGCUGCACUCAGACACCCCCGGCCCUUGUGUGGCCCCGUGGGUCCCGAGACCACACAGUCCCCGCAAAGGCUCCACCCCCCGCUUAGUCACUGGAGUGACAUCCCUCCACGGAGUAGACUUCUGAAAGUACCGAUUUUGGGCUCCUGGGCUCUCUCACUUGCAGAUAAGAACCCAGCCCAUCCAAUACCUUGAUUUUGGCUUUGUGAUGUCCUGCACAUCAUCCCAGAUGAGCCCAUCUGGACUUUGGAUCUACAGAAUGGUCUGGGACAACACAUUGUCAGCAUCCCAUGAACUUGGAAGAGAGACUCGGAUGGCAAGCCUUCCAGAUAGAUCACAUGAAGUGACAGAGAACCAGCUAAGUUUCAGUGUUAUACCCACGUACUUUUUUAAUUGACCAGCCAUGGCAAGUCCCCUAUCCAAUGACUUUCCUUCUCUCU